Molecule: RNA transcript, 1230 nt
Organism: Labeo rohita (rohu)
Lineage: Eukaryota; Metazoa; Chordata; Actinopteri; Cypriniformes; Cyprinidae
Exons: 12
Source: RefSeq, a predicted model, not a curated record
AGAGUGUUCAACAAUGAAGUGUUUUUCAGAGGUGAUUUUGUUCUUGAAUACAGAGGUGAACUGAGUUCAGAGGAGUGUCUUGAUCGGACUAAAGAGCUCAUGUUCUUGUUUGAUUUUCGGUGGCGUGGCAAAUAUUGGUGCAGAAUACAAAGGAAACAUGAAAAUAAUCAGGAGGAAAAUAAUGUGUUCUUUAGCAUGGAUGCAUCUAAAGAAGACAGAUCUUUGGGAAGGACUAGCCAGCAGUUUUGGUCAGCAGAAAUGGUCCCAUCAUGCUGCUGCUGUUUCCUCGCCUGACUUGGACAUGAAGAACAUCAAUGCAAGAACAUCAGGAAAUAAAACGGGAGAGGUGUGUUUGCACUGGAACACAUUGAACCAUCCACCUUUGUUGUUGAAUACCGUGGGAUUCUCUCUCAAAGUAAACAUGUUGAAGACAUUCAAAGCAAACUACUUGUUUGAAUUCACAUGGAAUGGGACACGUUACUGCCUAGAUGCUUCAAAAGAGGAUGGAUCACUUGGACGACUGGUGAAUGAUGAUCACAGAAAUCCAAACUGCAAAGUGAAGACAAUAAUUCUUGAAGGAAGGCCACACCUAUGCCUAUUUAGUAUAAGGGAUUUCUUUCCAGAUGAGGAGAUUACCUACAACUACGGUGAUUUCUCUUGGCCAUGGCGGUCACGGGAAUUAUGUGAAGACACAUCUGUGGCAGUGAGCGAAUGCAGUGUGAAUUCUUCCACAUCGGGGAAAGAGAAAGAAUUAUGUAAGAAGACAUCGUUGGCAGUGACCGAAUGCAGUGUAAAUACUUCCACAUCGGGGAAAGAGAAAGUGACUCCUGAGAAGGACUAAUUAUCAUUGGAGGAUCAAGACAGUGUUGAGAAGGAUAUGAUGAAGAUCUCACCUGUCAAAGAGCAUGUUUUAAUUUGGGAGCAGAGCUUUUGUGCCCCCACUGAAGCAAUCAAGGAGCUGUUAAGAAGAUGCCCAUUGAGAACCUCUGUUCUUCAAGCCAAAGGAAAACUGGCGGCCAGUGACUGAGUGCCAGCAAUGUAAAACUGAUGACGAUCCUGGUUUGGUAAGACGCAGCACUCAAAACAUAACAGACUUUGUGAGAAACUGGGGAAUUAUCUUGAAAAGAAAAACCCAAAAUAUGUGACAACAUCCUGUUCUCAUUUGUUCUGUUCUGUUAAGAUUUGGUUGUUGUUUUAGGUAUUUUUUUUUAUUGUGCAGUACUUAAUCAC